Molecule: ribosomal RNA, 253 nt
Filed under: uncultured bacterium
Lineage: Bacteria
Description: partial 16S ribosomal RNA
Rfam family: Bacterial small subunit ribosomal RNA
Source: RNAcentral
UACGUAGGGUGCAGGCGUUAAUCGGAAUUACUGGGCGUAAAGCGUGCGCAGGCGGUUUCUUAAGUCAGCUGUGAAAGCCCCGGGCUUAACCUGGGAACUGCGUUUGAAACUGGGAGACUUGAGUGUGGCAGAGGGGGGUGGAAUUCCACGUGUAGCAGUGAAAUGCGUAGAUAUGCGGAGGAACACCGAUGGCGAAGGCAAUCCCCUGGACCUGUACUGACGCUCAUGCACGAAAGCGUGGGGAGCAAACAGG